Molecule: ribosomal RNA, 469 nt
Filed under: uncultured bacterium
Lineage: Bacteria
Description: SSU rRNA
Rfam family: Bacterial small subunit ribosomal RNA
Source: RNAcentral
AGGAUAAACGCUGGCGGCGUGCCUAACACAUGCAAGUCGAACGCGCUUUCGGGCUUCGGUGCGAGAGCGAGUGGCGGACGGGUGAGUAACACAUGGGUACCUACCUUGGAGUGAGGGAUACCGGCGAGAAAUCGCCGACAAUACCGCAUAGGCUUCUUCACAAGGGAAGCAAAGUGACGCGAGUCACGCUUUGAGAUGGGCCUGUGGCCGAUUAGCUAGUUGGGGGGGUAACGGCUUCCCAAGGCGACGAUCGGUAGCUGGUCUGAGAGGACGAUCAGCCACACUGGGAUUGAGAACGGCCCAGACUCCUACGGGGGCAGCAGUGAGGAAUUUUCCGCAAUGGAGGCAACUCUGACGGAGCAACGCCGCGUGCAGGAGGAAGGUUUUCGGAUCGUAAACUGCUUUUCUCGGGGACGAGCAAGGACGGUACCCGAGGAAGAAGCCCGGCUAACUACGCGCCAGCAGCCGC